Long non-coding RNA from Malania oleifera, 745 nucleotides. RefSeq lists it as uncharacterized. Lineage: Eukaryota; Viridiplantae; Streptophyta; Magnoliopsida; Santalales; Ximeniaceae. The transcript is spliced from 3 exons. The record is from RefSeq and is a predicted model, not a curated record.
AUCUCUCCUGAAUAUUUUCUCUUUUCUUCUGUGAAUCUCUCUCUCUGCUCUCCCCAUCUUCUAUUCCCUCCUUCUCCUUUGUUCUUUCUUCUCUACUCUUUUCUUUUCUCUCUCUUUCUUCUCAUGAGUUCUCUCUCAUUCUUUCUCUUUCAUUCUUCUUCCUUUCGAACAUUUCCUCUCUCUGAUCUCUCUUUUCUUUCCUUCUGUUCUUUUCUUUUCUCUUUUUUUGUUUUUUUUUUGCUUUCUAAUUUUUGCUUUGUUUUCUGUUUUGCAGGUUAAAGUUCAAAAGGAUCAAAGAUCCUUGAAUCGUUCAAAUCCCAUAAAUCUAAUUGCCGAAGGACCCCAUGUAGGGUUGUGAGAUUUGAUUGUUGCAGCGAUUCCUGUAACAUGUGGACAAGACAUUGAAGUUCCUGAGAUUAUAUUAAAUUGUGGGUGCUCCUUCCCAUCUGGAGUGUGUGAUGCAUCAUUGCCAAUCCAUGCUGCCAAAAUGUUCACCCCCGGUGCUGCAAUAUCAGGCUGCAAGAGAGAGGAGGAGAGAGAGAGUCGUUGCCUUGAGUAGGUUUUGUAUGUUAAAUGAAGGGCCUCUUGAUGAGAAGUAUGCAACAGUUGGUGCAGGCCUGUAUUUUGUCACUGUAACAGUAGGUAGAAUUGUGGCCACUGGAUUUCUACAAAAAAAAUUCAAAGCUUGUCAAAAAUAGAAUUGUAGUUACGAUUCUUCAAUGAAGAGAACAAGUCUUAUUGAUUA